This 205-nucleotide unclassified non-coding RNA is filed under the name Hevea brasiliensis (rubber tree). The record is from RNAcentral. Lineage: Eukaryota; Viridiplantae; Streptophyta; Magnoliopsida; Malpighiales; Euphorbiaceae.
AGCAGGCCAACAAAUGGGGGAGCCAAAGCCAAUUUUUGCGAGGAUUGAAACUGGCGAGGAGGAAGGAUCUGGUCCCAAAGCGAUGAAAGAUAGGAGAAGAGUUCCCCGUAAACAAGGCGUUGUAGAGGCGUAGGUAUUUGCUAUGGCAGUUCUCAGGCUGCCAAUACAACAUGAAAUACAUUUCUCCCUUGCUGAUGACUUGAAG